AGAAUCAACGCUGGCGGCGUGCCUAACACAUGCAAGUCGUACGAGAAAGGGGAGCAAUCCCUGAGUAAAGUGGCGACCGGGUGAGUAACACGUGACUAACCUACCCUCGAGUGGGGAAUAACUCCGGGAAACCGGAGCUAAUACCGCAUAACAUCGCAAGAUCAAAGCAGCAAUGCGCUUGAGGAGGGGGUCGCGGCGGAUUAGCUUGUUGGCGGGGUAAUGGCCCACCAAGGCGACGAUCCGUAGCUGGUCUGAGAGGACGACCAGCCACACUGGGACUGAGACACGGCCCAGACUCCUACGGGAGGCAGCAGUGGGGAAUCUUGCACAAUGGGCGAAAGCCUGAUGCAGCGACGCCGCGUGAGGGAAGAAGGCUUUCGGGUUGUAAACCCCUUUCAGGAAGGACGAAGCCACUCGGGUUAAUAGCCCAGAGGGUGACGGUACUUCCAGAAGAAGCCCCGGCUAACUACGCGCCAGCAGCCGCGGU
Molecule: ribosomal RNA, 487 nt
Filed under: uncultured bacterium
Lineage: Bacteria
Description: SSU rRNA
Rfam family: Bacterial small subunit ribosomal RNA
Source: RNAcentral